RNAcentral lists this small RNA (634 nucleotides) under Arabidopsis thaliana (thale cress). Its description in RNAcentral is "ATSL157910". The record is from RNAcentral. Lineage: Eukaryota; Viridiplantae; Streptophyta; Magnoliopsida; Brassicales; Brassicaceae.
AUUUCAAAAUGAAAGAUUGAGAAUGUUCUUCUGAGUUUUUUCAAACACUCUUUAUAUUUUUUUUAUCAAAUUGACAAGUGAAUAAUAAUAAAAUCAUAGGAAAUGUCAAAUCUUCUUACAAAAAUUCAUCUCUUAAAACCAAAAGAAAAAGAAAACUUUCACAGUUUAAAUGAUCAAUCAAAUCACUUACACGUUGAUAAUGUCAAAGGUUUUGGAAAUGAUUCAUAUUUUCUUUCUCUUCGUUCUCUCACUUUUUUUUUUCUCUUUCUUUGGUUUUGCUUUCUCUCUCUUUCGUCUAGUCUUCACAUACAUAUAGCUCCGAAUGGAGAAAGCGUAUCAGGCGGAGCAGAUUUAGCGUAUCAAGUAGAACAAAAGCGGAUCAAGUAGAUCUAACUGUACAAGUGCGGAUCAAGUGGUUCAAACACAAGUGGCUCCGAAUGGAGAAAGCCUCUUUCGUGGAGAGGAUCAAGCAUUUCAAGUAGAACUAAAGCGGAUCAAACGGAUCAGGCGUUUCAAGCACAACUAAAGCGGAUCAAGCGGUUGGAACGCUUCAAAAUAUGUAUUGAAUGGUAAAAACGGAUCAACCGAUGCAGAUGAAAUAAUUUAUUGUAAAAAUAUUAAUUUAAAAUAAAUU